CCUACGGGGGGCAGCAGUGGGGAAUAUUGCGCAAUGGGCGAAAGCCUGACGCAGCGACGCCGCGUGAGGGAUGAAGGUCUUCGGAUCGUAAACCUCUGUCAGCAGGGAAGAACGGUCACGGGGCUAAUCAGCAGUGAAUGGACGGUACCUGCAAAGGAAGCACGGGCUAACUCCGUGCCAGCAGCCGCGAUAAGACGGAGGGGGCGAGCGUUAAUCGGAAUUACUGGGCGGAAAGCGCUCGUAGGCGGUAUGUCAAGUCAAGGGUGAAAUCCCCGCGCUCAACGUGGGAACUGCCUUUGAAACUGGCAACCUGGAUUGUGUGCGAGGAUAGUGGAAUUCCAGGUGUCGGCGU
Molecule: ribosomal RNA, 352 nt
Filed under: uncultured bacterium
Lineage: Bacteria
Description: partial 16S ribosomal RNA
Rfam family: Bacterial small subunit ribosomal RNA
Source: RNAcentral